GACGAACGCUGGCGGCGUGCUUAACACAUGCAAGUCGAACGGAAAGGCUCCAGCUUGCUGGAGUACUCGAGUGGCGAACGGGUGAGUAACACGUGGGUAAUCUGCCCUGCACUCUGGGAUAAGCCUGGGAAACUGGGUCUAAUACUGGAUAUGACCUUUCUCCUUAUGGGGUUUGGUGGAAAGUUUUUCGGUGUAGGAUGAGCCCGCGGCCUAUCAGCUUGUUGGUGGGGUGAUGGCCUACCAAGGCGACGACGGGUAGCCGGCCUGAGAGGGUGAUCGGCCACAUUGGGACUGAGAUACGGCCCAGACUCCUACGGGGGGCAGCAGUGGGGAAUAUUGCACAAUGGGCGGAAGCCUGAUGCAGCGACGCCGCGUGAGGGAUGACGGCCUUCGGGUUGUAAACCUCUUUCAGCAGGGACGAAGCGUAAGUGACGGUACCUGCAGAAGAAGCACCGGCUAACUAGGCG
Molecule: ribosomal RNA, 467 nt
Filed under: uncultured bacterium
Lineage: Bacteria
Description: partial 16S ribosomal RNA
Rfam family: Bacterial small subunit ribosomal RNA
Source: RNAcentral